AAUAAGUCGCUUUGGCAAUGAGGACACACUCCGGAAGUACAAAUAUGUGCUCCGGCUGUACAAAGAUGUGCUCCGGCAGCACACCUUCUGGUGCCACGUUGCUCUGGCAGUUGAAUAGGUCGCUCCGGCAAUAAUGACAAGCACUUCGACAGUGCACCUUUUGGAGCCACAUCAUUCUAGCAGUUGAAUUGGUCGCUCCGGCAAUACGCUACUUGGGAU
This 219-nucleotide long non-coding RNA is filed under the name Amborella trichopoda. RNAcentral describes it as "long non-coding RNA (ATRI_LNC001375)". Lineage: Eukaryota; Viridiplantae; Streptophyta; Magnoliopsida; Amborellales; Amborellaceae. The record is from RNAcentral.